CCCGAGUACCAGAAGAGGCCAAUGAGCAGGGCCCCCCCUCCUGAGGACCAUAAACAGUGACCCAGGCACAGAGGGAGUGUAGUGAAUUCCUGUACUUUAAUGUUGCCCUGGCAUCCGUUUUGAAUAUAAUCUGGACUUUCUUACAUUAGAAGCAGGGCUCAGUCAACCUUGACACUGUUUCCAGCUCCCUGCUUCCUCCCAGUUCCUCUAUGUGCUCAAUCCAGAUAUCUACCUUAGACAGUCAUCUCCCGGUGACUGCCUCCCUGUGGGACAGCUACAUACAGCCCACUUGACUGGUCCCGCUGACCCCACAGCCCGCAUGGACUGUUGCAGAUAGGCCAGUGACCCUCUCUCAGCCAUAGCGUGACCCUGCUUGCUCUAAACUCACCAAUUAUUUUAUUUUAUUUUAUUUUAUUUUAUUUUAUUUUAUUUAUUUAUUUUUGAGAUGGAGUCUCGCUCUGUCACCCAGGCUGGAGUGCAGUGGCGCAAUCCUGGCUCACUGCAAGCUCCGCCUCCCGGGUUCAAGCCAUUCUCCUGCCUCAGCCUCCUGAGUAGCUGGGACUACAGGUGCGCACCACCACGCCCAGCUAAUUUUUGUAUUUUUAGUAGAGACGGGGUUUCACAAUGUUUUCCAGGAUGGUCUCAAUCUCUUGACCUCGUGAUCCACCCGCCUCGGCCUCCCAAAGUACAGGCGUGAGCCACCGGCACCUGGCCUAAACCCAAUUAUUACUCCCCUCAGGAAACCUGCCUGGGUGACGCCCUGGACCCCAUAAAGGCCUUGGUCCCACAGGUCCCCUCUCUCUCUCACUCUCUACCUGCUACUUGAACACCCUGCUGUCUCCGGGAUUCCUGUUGGCCCUCAUCGGCGCUGGCUUCUCUCAUGGAUCUAGAGCGGCUAUCUCGGCUUAUGGUACCUCUCCAAGGGACACCCCAAGACCCAAUUAGACAAAGAUCUCAACAGGGAGGCUCCUGGCUCAAGGUAAGUUUUGAAAGGAUGCCCAAGGGCUCUGGCAUGACCAUGCUACCUGCAGAGAGGACCCAGGGCACAGGCCCCAGCCCCAGUGGCCGAGAUAGGGGGAGGGUUGCCCCAGGGACCCCCCCAAGUACUGAGGCCUGGGCAUGGAGAUGUGGGAGACCCCUCUCAGAUCCCUGCUCCUGACACACACAGGCAGGGUCCCUUACUGCCUUAUCUUUCCUGGUGCUCACACCUGUCCCCUUCCACAGCUAAUUUCCAUCAGAGACCUGGGACCUAAGUCCCCUGUUUCAGCCUGGCAUCUCCCAGAGCCAUUCAGAUCUCUCUUGGAGGUGCCCGGUGAUCCCCAGGGCAGAGCUCGGUGGAGUCAAGGCACCUUGCUUGCCUCACUCUAGUCCCAGCCUGACCUCAGGAGAAGGAUUGAGGAACCUAGUCCUCCCGCAGGCAGGAGGGGUAGAGCACCUUGGAACCAAACUCAGGAGUUUCUGGCUGGCUCCAAACAGAAGAGCCACAGCCCACAGGAGCUCUCUUCUGAAAGGAUCUCCAGCCUUGGGUUUACCUCAUCAGAGGCUUGGCCUGUGGGACACUGCGGGAGAGGAUUGGGAGAAGAAAGAGGGAGACGGGGUUUCACCAUGUUCGCCAGGAUGGACUCGAUUUCCUGACCUCGUGAUCCACCCACCUCGGCCUCCCAAAGUGAUGGGAUUGCAGGCGUGAGCCACCGUGCCCAGCCAAGGUAAGAUUCUUAUAAACCUUUUAUAACCCUUUACAAUUUUUUUUAGAACAGAACAAUGUUCUUAAAAAAUUCUGCUGUGCUUUUUUUUUUUUUUUUUUUUUUGAGAUGGAGUCUGGCUCUGUUGCCUGGCCUGGAGUGUAGUGGCACGAUCUCAGCUCACUGCAACCUCCGCCUCCAGGGUUCAAGCGAUUCUCCUGCCUCAGCCUCCCGAAUAGCUGGAAUUACAGGCUCCUGCCACUACACCCAGCUAAUUUUUUGUAUUUUUAGUAGAGAUGGGGUUUCACCAUGUUGGCCAUGCUGGUCUUGAACUGCUGACCUCAUGAUUUGCCUGCCUCAGCCUCCCAAAGUGCUGGGAUUACAGGCAUGAGCCACGGUGCCUGGCCUCUGCUUUUGAUGGCAGCAGGGGGCCGUCUAAAGUGGCUGCUGCCAUCACACUGGCUGCAGUAGGGAGGCAUGGGCGGUGGUGGCAGGAGCAGCUGUGGGAGCAGCAGUGGCAGUAGUGGGACUCCUGUGCCCCAUGUCCCCUGUGCCCUGCAUCCCUGAGGCAGUCAGCUGCACCACCCCCAUCCUCUCAUGGCUGGGCAGAACCUGCUCCCAGACCCAGAGUCUCCACCGUGGUCACAAUCUUGCACGCCUGGCCAAGGGCACAGUUGGGGACUCUUGGGGCCAGCCCCAAGAGCAUUUGGUUUGUUUGUGUGGGGUUGACUGGGGCUACAGCACCACCUGCACCUUGCCCAUGACUGCUGCAGGGAAAAUGCAGACAGGAGGCAGGCAGGCACUCCCUGGAGCCUGUCCCUGGGAGCCCCCUAGAGUCCACUGCCCUGGGAGCCACUGUGAUGAGGCUGGGCUGAGUCACCCACUGACGGGGGAGCAGUGUAAUUGAGCAUGGAGGGGUGGGCAGAAAGGGGCCCUGAUAUGGAGCUGGGCCCAGGCCAGUGCCACACUCCAAGGAGCCAGUGAGAGCCAGGAGCAGACAGGGGCCUGGCAUUCCUGGGCGUGGCUGUGGCCACCCAAGUCACAGCUGUGGACCCAGGCCUCCCUGUGCUUUUGGGGGCUGGGAGCAGGUAGAAGCCCCACCCUCCCAAGGAGCAGCUGCAGCCACUCAGCUGCAGCUGUGGACCCAGGCCUCUCUGCACUUUUGGAGCCCUAGGAAGGCCACCCCCUUCCCCCUGCAGGCUCUGAGGUGUCUUAUCUCACUGCCUGAUCUCUGUCAACUCCUGGCAACUGCUCCGAUCUCAGAGCAAGGUUGGGGCCAAGCCUGGGCACUGUCGCAACCCAGCCAUGUGUGUGUACACUCAGGGCAGUGUUAACACGCCAGCCCCCUGCCACCUUAGCCCCCUCCUGACUUUGGGCACCAGCAAGCACCAGAGGGAGGCCAAGGGGGUGCUGAGGGCAGCUUGGCACUGGCCUCCAGGUGCCCUUUGGUAUGAACAGCCUGGACAUCAUGAACAGAGGCAGGAGACAGGCUCCUGGGCAGAAAGGAAAAGUUCCCCAGUGAAGCCUCACCUUGAAGCUGGCGAGGGCCUGUAGCUGGGGACUACACUGCUGGUCCCACAAACCAGAGUGGGAACUUGUGAUGCUUUUUCUGGGGCUGCACAUGGUUUCCCAUGGACCAACUGACAUGCGCUUCCUCCCCUCUGAGGCCCAUAAAAGCCCUGGACUCAGCCAGACUUGAGAAGAUGAUGGGACAACCAGCUGCAGAGAGGAGCUACCCUCUCUGCUGAGAGCUGAAGAGACAACAUGAUGACCAGCUGCAGAGAGGAGCUACCGUCUCUCCUGAGAGCUGAACACUCAUUGGGACACCCUGGCUACAGAAAGGAGCUACCUAUUUCAGGUCUCCUCUAAGCUGUUCUGUCACUCAAUAAAGCUUCUCUUCAUCUUGCUCACCCUUCGCUUGUCUGCAUACCUCAUUCUUCCUGGAUGCAGGACAAGAACUUGGGACCUGCCAAA
RNAcentral lists this long non-coding RNA (3656 nucleotides) under Homo sapiens (human). RNAcentral's name for it is "HSALNT0222832". Lineage: Eukaryota; Metazoa; Chordata; Mammalia; Primates; Hominidae. The record is from RNAcentral.